GUAGGUGGCAAGCGUUGUCCGGAAUUAUUGGGGCGUAAAGCGCGCGCAGGCGGUCCAUUAAGUCUGAUGUGAAAGCCCACGGGCUCAACCGUGGAGGGUCAUUGGAAACUGGGGGACUUGAGUACAGAAGAGGAAAGCGGAAUUCCAAGUGUAGCGGUGAAAUGCGUAGAGAUUUGGAGGAACACCAGUGGCGAAGGCGGCUUUCUGGUCUGUAACUGACGCUGAGGCGCGAAAGCGUGGGGAGCAAACAGGAUUAGAUACCCUGGUAGUCCACGCCGUAAACGAUGAGUGCUAAGUGUUAGGGGGUUUUCGCCCCUUAGUGCUGCAGCUAACGCAUUAAGCACUCCGCCUGUGGAGUACGGCCGCAAAGGCUG
RNAcentral lists this ribosomal RNA (374 nucleotides) under uncultured organism. RNAcentral's name for it is "partial 16S ribosomal RNA". It matches the Rfam family "Bacterial small subunit ribosomal RNA", at positions 527 to 896 of the family's 1533-position model. The record is from RNAcentral.